GAUUAGCAUUUCAUAAGCGGAGGAAAAGAACCUAUCACGGAUUUCCCUAUACUGUGAGUGAGAGGGGAGAGGUAACAUCAGAUCUGACACAGUUAUGCCGUCCGAGUCGUCAUCUAGAGAAGUUUGAAUGUGCUGCCCCAGGGUUAAGUCUCCUGGAAUGGAGGGUCAUAGUUGGUGAGAAUCCGCUCGUUGUCACUGACAGGCAGUGCCUCUGAGGUGGAGUCUCAAAGAGUGGAGUUCUUUGGGCAUGCAGCUCUAACUGUGUGGUAAACUCCAUCUAAAGGUAUAUAUUGGCGAGAGACCGAUAGUGAUCAUGUACAGUGAGGGAAAGACCAAAAGAACUUUGGAAAGAGAGUUAAACAUUAUGUGAAAUUGUUGCACGGGAAACGGUUAAAGUCAGUCGUGUCGGCCAGGGAUCAAGGUAGUUUUAUUAGCCGGGUGUAGUUCCGGAUGAUCAUGGCCAACUUCAUUUUUGACUGUUGGAAAAGGAUAGAGAGAAUGUCGCACCUUUGCGGGGGAAAAAGGUUUCGGUCGGAUGCUCCUCCGGGAGUGAGGAAAGCCGCAGCCUACAAGCCCGGGUUUCGACCACGUUCAUGCAUAGCAAUUGGCAUAAUGUAAUUUCACCACCGUCCCGUAACGAAACCCAAGGAGUGGAGUCGUCUUGCAAGCGAGGGUUGGCAAGUCAAACCCCGGAAUGAAAUGGAAAAGUUGGCAUGCGAGUCAUUGGGAGCAUCGUCGCCCGGUCCUGAGGUUUUGCAAAGGAUUUGAGGUAGAGCAUGUAUGGCCGGACCCGAAAGAAGGUGAACUAUGCCUGUAUAGGGUGAAGCCAGAGGAAACUCUGGUGGAGGCUCGUAGCGGUUCUGACGUGCAAAUCGAUCGUCAAAUAUGGGUCAUAGGGCGAAAGACUAAUCGAAACAUGCUAGGGUCCU
This 929-nucleotide ribosomal RNA is filed under the name Amanita sp. RNAcentral describes it as "partial large subunit ribosomal RNA". It matches the Rfam family "Eukaryotic large subunit ribosomal RNA", at positions 31 to 959 of the family's 3401-position model. Lineage: Eukaryota; Fungi; Basidiomycota; Agaricomycetes; Agaricales; Amanitaceae. The record is from RNAcentral.